RNAcentral lists this transfer RNA (73 nucleotides) under Candidatus Zixiibacteriota bacterium. Its description in RNAcentral is "candidate division Zixibacteria bacterium tRNA-Gly". It matches the Rfam family "tRNA". From Rfam's summary of the family: Transfer RNA (tRNA) molecules are approximately 80 nucleotides in length. Their secondary structure includes four short double-helical elements and three loops (D, anti-codon, and T loops). The record is from RNAcentral. Lineage: Bacteria; Pseudomonadati; Candidatus Zixiibacteriota.
GCGGGAGUAGCUCAGUUGGUAGAGCACCACCUUGCCAAGGUGGCUGUCGCGGGUUCAAGUCCCGUCUCCCGCU